This is a long non-coding RNA of Photinus pyralis (common eastern firefly), 2510 nucleotides long. RefSeq lists it as uncharacterized. The record is from RefSeq and is a predicted model, not a curated record. NCBI's taxonomy places the organism in Eukaryota, Metazoa, Arthropoda, Insecta, Coleoptera, Lampyridae. The transcript is spliced from 2 exons.
GUAGUUGCACUUGACACUUUAGCAUUGUGUUUAUGUCCAUGGACGUUAGUAACGCAGUUGAUUGAUAUGUUCCAAGUGAGCUUUGCUUUAAUACCCAAUUGUAGAAAAUGGGAUUCAUCAUCCGUGCGUUUCAAUUGGAGUGCAAAUCGAAUCGUAUGGUACUAGAUGUACUUAGUUACACGUCCACACGCUUUACAAUGUUAGAACCUCACUAAUUAAGUUAGAACCGAACGCAUGCCGAUAAGAUAAACUUUAAAAUUUGCCGCUCUAGAGUUAUCGCAUUGUAUUAUCUUCAGCCCAAAUUCGAAAAUGACUUUGUGAUUGGUUCAUGAUAUUGCGGAAAUGUAACCUCUAUCAGAUAAAUUGAACUGAAACUUGAGAUCCCGUAACUCUUAUCAAUUAUGCAGGGAUAAUCAUGAUGAUAUGGUUGCUACUAUGGAAAACCUGUUUUAAUCAAGAAAUCAGCUUACCAAUGCGACUAAGCCAUCAACAUAAAGGGGGUGUAAUAAUCUUAUCCUUAUACAACAGUUACAACGUAAUACCAAUAUUUCAAUAUCGGAUUACUUUUAGAUGAACGUUUCUUCUGAUAUGAACACUAUGCGAUGCUUAUUGCCCCAACGCGAUCAAAAUGGGCGUUGUCAAAAUUUCCAACGCGCGAGAUGCGAAAUGGGAUAAUGCGAUAGGUCGAGCUCUGGAGAUGCUGAUGAGAGUUCUAACGUCAAAAAAUGAUCCGUGGCUAAACCACUGCGAUUUCUAGUAAGCGGACAAAGUUGAGAUUUGAGGAUUUUCUUUAUCUCUCAAUAAAAAUUGCGACCGCGAAGUUAUCUAAAAAUAAGAGGCUUUUAACUAAUUAUUGUUUCUAUGUGGAUUGUGGAUUGUGGAUACCUAUACGAAGUGGGUACCGCAGUCGCUUAAAAUGCAUGGCAACCAUAGAUUUGAAGAUACACUUAAGCUAAGCUCAACUUGGGUAUAUUUGUAGGUACAAACUAUUAAAGCCAUGGCCGAAGUGGACAGCCUGUAUACCGAGCAAAAUUCCAGAUCCCUUCUUACAUUUAAUUACAGUAAUAAUACCCAUAUAAUCAAAUCAAGUAAAAAAAUACAGUGGAACAGAAGAAUAGCAUUAUUUUCACUAUCCGAGAAUAAGUAUCGACUUUGAAUAUACACAGCUAUCGAUAAGAUCACCUUAUUAAUAAUGACAAUUUACUGCUAUUUGGUCUUCGGGAACGUUAUAUAGAGAAAAAAUGCUCUUGUCGUUUUCACAUAAAAUAAAACAAAGAAAAAAAAAGACUCGACAAAAUAAAUAAAUGCAUCGAAAAAACUAAAAUACAGGAGCAUUGUCAACACUGGUAAUCUUGUAGGAUUCACGCCGUGCGGCGCCGGCAACACUGACUGUGGACAUUACUCAAAAAGGUUGGGGAAUGCUGCUUUAAUGUAAACCGAGCAGAUCUGUUCACACGUAAACGUAUUUUUCAAGCGGUUUGGAAGUGUGUUGUUGUCAAACUUCUUAAACAUUAUUUUGUGUCUUUAAAAUGGAUCUUCUCACUGUCAAUUAUCACGUUGUGCCGGGUGUAACAGGUGGUCGUUUAGCUGCUUUCAAACAUUUGGUUUUGAAUUUGUAUUUUGUUAAACGUUACACAUAUACCGCUUCAUCGCGAACAUGAAUAAAAGUAUGUCUGGCGAUAACAGAAACCGUAUUGGGGAAAGCGAGCGUGAUUGCCACGAUCCAUUUCCAACCUAAGAGUUUCGUUCCGUUCUGUUUAAAGCCGAGCACGUAUUCGUUUAAAAAGGUGUGCUAAUUUGUGUUUGUACUAUGUUAGGUUCGCGAAAUUUAAUUUUUAGAGAAGUUACGAGUGCGAGCCAGUACCAUUUUGGGUACGCUAAUUUAUUAUUAUGGUUGGUUCAUUUUGCGUCAAUACAAAGGUGUUCGUUUUAAGGAGCGUCCACGUACAAUAUCGAUCUGUGAAACAAUUAUUUCGCGUUCGGCAUUUUUAGCUGGGUUGCAAGAAAUAUCUUGCCAUAUAUGUGAAGAUUCGUGGUUCUAGUUCAAGAACCAGAACGCGGAAGUAGUCGAUAAAAUUUAUUUAAGUCGCUGUAAAGAUUAGCAGUUCAACUUCGAGUAAAAAACGUAUCAAGUGGCGAGACUUCCUAAAUUUCGAAAACGUCGUAGAGAAACGUUUAAACAAAUUCGGGUUUGUUUCAAAUUGUGUUACCUGCAAUUUUACAUGUGUGCGAAUAGACGAAUUACAGUGGAUUGUGAGACGAGGAGAAACUUUUUACCAGACUGAUUCGAACCAGGUUCUUCAUUUAUAAGUGAUACAAUUUACGUGAAGGAACAUUUUCAAAUAAAAUAAUCGGGAUUAAAUAAACUGAGCUUGAAACUCAUCGCGAUAAACAAAGAACUUUUUUCGGAUCGCUAAAUGUAACGGCUGGUUAAAAGCAAAUUUCUUAAAGCUGAGUGACGUCUUCGGACAGCGCCUUGCGCGAUCAAUAAAAUUUUGUAUAUAACGGCA